AUUGAACGCUGGCGGUAGGCCUAACACAUGCAAGUCGAACGGCAACACAGUACGAGUUUCUUCUUCCCUGACGCGUGUGGCGGGCGGGUGUGGUAUCUAUCGGACUCCACUUUUUCGUGGGGGAACACGUAGAAACGCUUGCGCAUAUCCCGUAACCGCCCUACGCGUGAAAGCAGGAGCUUUUCGGCUCUUGCGCGCUUAUAUGCGCCGAUGUCGGAUUAGCUAGUAGGCGGGGUAAAGGCUCACCUAGGCGACGAUCCGUAGCUGGUCUGAGAGGAUGAUCAGCCACACUGGAACUGAGACACGGUCCAGACUCCUACGGGAGGCAGCAGUGGGGAAUAUUGCACAAUGGGCGCAAGCCUGAUGCAGCCAUACCGCGUGUAUGAAGAAGGCCUUCGGGUUGUAAAGUACUUUUAGUGGGGAUGAAGGGAGUAAAGUUAAUACCUUUGCUCAUUGACGGUACCCGAAGAAGAAGCACCGGCUAACUCCGUG
RNAcentral lists this ribosomal RNA (492 nucleotides) under uncultured bacterium. RNAcentral describes it as "partial 16S ribosomal RNA". It matches the Rfam family "Bacterial small subunit ribosomal RNA", at positions 30 to 507 of the family's 1533-position model. The record is from RNAcentral.